CACUGGGGAGCCCUCCCUGGGGACAAGGUGCAGUGCCAGCCCCAGCCCCAGAUCUGUCCCUCUGCAGCAGCCAGAGCCUCCCUCCAUCCCGUACCGUGAUGCAGUUGUUGUAGGCAUCUCGCACCACCUCGUACUCAAUCUCCUUCCAGCCUUUCAGGGACUUGUCCACCAGCACCUGGGAGGUGUGGGUGAAGGCCUGGCUCACCAGAGCCACCAGCUCUUCCCGGUCGUUGGCGAAGCCGGAGCCCAGCCCCCCCAGGGCGUAGGCAGAGCGCACCAGCACCGGGUACCCCAGGCGCUCAGCUGCAGCCUGUGCCUGCAGGGAGCAACAUGUCAUGGUGACAAACAGGAAGGACAGGACCCUGCCCUGCCCCAACUCCCAGACCACCCCAGACCUGCUCCAGGGAGGCAGCAGCCUCGCUGGGCGCCACGUGCUCCCCAAUCUCCUCCAUCUUCUCCACGAAGACCUUGCGAUCCUCUGUCAUCUCAAUGGAGGCUACGGGGGUGCCCAGCACCCGCACGUGGUACCGCUCCAGAACGCCCGCCUUGGUCAGCUCCACGCCACAGUUGAGGGCAGUCUGCCCCCCGAAGGUUUAAAGGGGUCCAGGAUGUGCUGUAGGCUGUUCCGGAGAGACGUGGUAACGCCUCGGGGUGAAGUCAGCGCAGUGACAGCAGCGCCGCGGGCUGUGGCAGGUGGAAGGAACUGUCCCAUCACUCGACGCCCCGAGAGAAUGACCGGACAUUCCUAAUGAACGCCACUGAUGACCAAUGGAAGCCCCGGAGACGGACCAAUCACCGCGAGGACCCAAAUCCCACCAAUUCUGGACCGAGGGGGAUUAUGAGAGGGAGUGUCGGGCUGCUGCUCGCGGUUCUCCUGCGGAGCUGGUUUCCAGGGGAGCGCCCGGUGGGUCAGGGCUGGUGAUGCACUGUGUCGUUUUCCGGCUUGCUGAGAGGGGAAUCGGGCUUAUCUCGGGUCCUCCGCCUUCCACAGCUGUGUACCAAUAAACGGGUGCCGGUUUUUUGAGAGAGAGUCUCUGCUCCGUUUCUAACAAGCGAGUGGCUGUCAGAUAAAGCCCUGGUCUCGUUCAUAACAGUAGUGGUGGUGUGUGCUGCUCCAGGGGCAGGGUGGAGAGGUGUUUUUCCUCCUCCUGAUCUUUAUGCUUCCUAAUCCAACGCUGCGGCAGCAGGGUUGCAAGCCCGACUGCAGGGGGGCUCGGCGCACGGUCCCUGCCCCAUCCCCAUCCCCAUCCCCAUCCCCAUCCCCAUCCCCAUCCCCAUCCCCAUCCCCAUCC
Molecule: long non-coding RNA, 1292 nt
Filed under: Ficedula albicollis (Collared flycatcher)
Lineage: Eukaryota; Metazoa; Chordata; Aves; Passeriformes; Muscicapidae
Description: lncRNA (ENSFALG00000027674.1)
Source: RNAcentral